GAAGCCCACCAGACCGCCGCUGGCGCAAGGCCCGAAAGGGCGCGCUGGAGGAACGUCCGGACUGCACAGGGCAGCGCAGCAGGUAACACCUGUCCACCGUGAGGUGAGGAUCAGAGCAACAGAGACGAGCCGCUUGAGUGCGGGUGAAACGGGCAAUCUCUGCGCGCAGCAACACCAAGUAGGCACACGUUGACGGGGCCCCCGGAGUGUGCGGGUAGGUGGCACCGAGCCGGGUGGGCGACCCCCGGCCCAGAUUGAUGGCGGUCACGCCGCGGGCAACCGCGGUGCACAGAAUCCGGCGUAUCGGUGGGCUUCACAC
RNAcentral lists this RNase P RNA (319 nucleotides) under Burkholderiales bacterium. Its description in RNAcentral is "RNase P RNA component class A". It matches the Rfam family "Bacterial RNase P class A". From Rfam's summary of the family: Ribonuclease P (RNase P) is a ubiquitous endoribonuclease, found in archaea, bacteria and eukarya as well as chloroplasts and mitochondria. RNAcentral also lists the same sequence under 3 other names. Lineage: Bacteria; Pseudomonadati; Pseudomonadota; Betaproteobacteria; Burkholderiales. The record is from RNAcentral.